GACGAACGCUGGCGGCGUGCUUAACACAUGCAAGUCGAACGGAAAGGCCCUGCUUUUGUGGGGUGCUCGAGUGGCGAACGGGUGAGUAACACGUGAGUAACCUGCCCUUGACUUUGGGAUAACUUCAGGAAACUGGGGCUAAUACCGGAUAGGAGCUCCUGCUGCAUGGUGGGGGUUGGAAAGUUUCGGCGGUUGGGGACGGACUCGCGGCUUAUCAGCUUGUUGGUGGGGUAGUGGCUUACCAAGGCUUUGACGGGUAGCCGGCCUGAGAGGGUGACCGGCCACAUGGGGACUGAGAUACGGACCAGACUGCUACGGGAGGCAGCAGUGGGGAAUAUUGCACAAUGGGCGGAAGCCUGAUGCAGCAACGCCGCGUGCGGGAUGACGGCCUUCGGGUUGUAAACCGCUUUCGCCUGUGACGAAGCGUGAGUGACGGUAAUGGGUAAAGAAGCACCGGCUAACUACGUG
RNAcentral lists this ribosomal RNA (468 nucleotides) under uncultured bacterium. RNAcentral describes it as "partial 16S ribosomal RNA". It matches the Rfam family "Bacterial small subunit ribosomal RNA", at positions 28 to 507 of the family's 1533-position model. The record is from RNAcentral.